Molecule: ribosomal RNA, 433 nt
Filed under: uncultured bacterium
Lineage: Bacteria
Description: partial 16S ribosomal RNA
Rfam family: Bacterial small subunit ribosomal RNA
Source: RNAcentral
AGCGAACGCUGGCGGCAGGCCUAACACAUGCAAGUCGAACGAACUCUUCGGAGUUAGUGGCGGACGGGUGAGUAGCACGUGGGAACGUGCCUUUAGGUUCGGAAUAACUCAGGGAAACUUGUGCUAAUACCGAAUGUGCCCUUCGGGGGAAAGAUUUAUCGCCUUUAGAGCGGCCCGCGUCUGAUUAGCUAGUUGGUGAGGUAAAGGCUCACCAAGGCGACGAUCAGUAGCUGGUCUGAGAGGAUGAUCAGCCACAUUGGGACUGAGACACGGCCCAAACUCCUACGGGAGGCAGCAGUGGGGAAUCUUGCGCAAUGGGCGAAAGCCUGACGCAGCCAUGCCGCGUGAAUGAUGAAGGUCUUAGGAUUGUAAAAUUCUUUCACCGGGGACGAUAAUGACGGUACCCGGAGAAGAAGCCCCGGCUAACUUCGUG